UUGAACGCUGGCGGCAUGCCUUACACAUGCAAGUCGAACGGCAGCAUGGAAGAGCUUGCUCUUCUGAUGGCGAGUGGCGAACGGGUGAGUAAAGCAUCGGAACGUACCGUGUAGCGGGGGAUAACUACUCGAAAGAGUAGCUAAUACCGCAUACGCCCUACGGGGAAAGGGGGGGAUCGCAAGACCUCUCACUAUUGGAGCGGCCGAUAUCGGAUUAGCUAGUUGGUGAGGUAAAGGCUCACCAAGCCAACGAUCUGUAGCUGGUCUGAGAGGACGACCAGCCACACUGGAACUGAGACACGGUCCAGACUCCUACGGGAGGCAGCAGUGGGGAAUUUUGGACAAUGGACGCAAGUCUGAUCCAGCCAUUCCGCGUGCAGGACGAAGGCCUUCGGGUUGUAAACUGCUUUUGUACAGAACGAAAAGGUCUCUAUUAAUACUAGGGGCUCAUGACGGUACUGUAAGAAUAAGCACCGGCUAACUACGUG
Molecule: ribosomal RNA, 488 nt
Filed under: uncultured bacterium
Lineage: Bacteria
Description: bacterial SSU rRNA
Rfam family: Bacterial small subunit ribosomal RNA
Source: RNAcentral